GAUGAACGCUGGCGGCGUGCCUAAUACAUGCAAGUCGAGCGAACGGACGAGAAGCUUGCUUUUCUGAUGUUAGCGGCGGACGGGUGAGUAACACGUGGAUAACCUACCUAUAAGACUGGGAUAACUUCGGGAAACCGGAGCUAAUACCGGAUAAUAUUUUGAACCGCGUGGUUCAUAAGUGAAAGACGGUCUUGCUGUCACUUAUAGAUGGAUCCGCGCUGCAUUAGCUAGUUGGUAAGGUAACGGCUUACCAAGGCAACGAUGCAUAGCCGACCUGAGAGGGUGAUCGGCCACACUGGAACUGAGACACGGUCCAGACUCCUACGGGAGGCAGCAGUAGGGAAUCUUCCGCAAUGGGCGAAAGCCUGACGGAGCAACGCCGCGUGAGUGAUGAAGGUCUUCGGAUCGUAAAACUCUGUUAUUAGGGAAGAACAUAUGUGUAAGUAACUGUGCACAUCUUGACGGUACCUAAUCAGAAAGCCACGGCUAACUACGUG
RNAcentral lists this ribosomal RNA (497 nucleotides) under uncultured bacterium. Its description in RNAcentral is "partial 16S ribosomal RNA". It matches the Rfam family "Bacterial small subunit ribosomal RNA", at positions 28 to 507 of the family's 1533-position model. The record is from RNAcentral.